Molecule: unclassified non-coding RNA, 378 nt
Filed under: uncultured Actinomycetes bacterium
Lineage: Bacteria; Bacillati; Actinomycetota; Actinomycetes
Description: uncultured actinobacterium contains 16S-23S intergenic spacer region
Source: RNAcentral
UCCGAGUUGACCCCGGCAGUCUCCCACGAGUCCCCGGCAUAACCCGCUGGCAACAUGGGACAAGGGUUGCGCUCGUUGCGGGACUUAACCCAACAUCUCACGGCACGAGCUGACGACAGCCAUGCACCACCUGUGCACUAGCCCCGAAGGGCUGCCGUAUUUCUACGACAUUCCAGUGCAUGUCGAGCCUUGGUAAGGUUCUUCGCGUUGCGUCGAAUUAAACCACAUGCUCCGCUGCUUGUGCGGGCCCCCGUCAAUUCCUUUGAGUUUUAGCCUUGCGGCCGUACUCCCCAGGCGGGGUACUUAAUGCGUUAGCUGCGGCACAGGAGGGGUCGAUACCUCCUACACCUAGUGCCCACCGUUUACGGCUAGGACUAC